GACGAACGCUGGCGGCGUGCUUAACACAUGCCAGUCGAACGGAAAGGCCCUGCUUUUUUGGGGUGCUCGAGGGGCGAAAGGGGGAGUGACACGUGAGUAACCUGCCCUUGACUGUGGGAUAACUUCAGGAAACUCGGGCUAAUACCGGAUAGGAGCUCCUGCUGCAUGGGGGGGGUUGGAAAGUUUCGGCGGGUGGGGGUGGACUCGCGGCUUGUCAGCUUGUUGGUGGGGUGGUGUGUUACCCAGGCUUUGACGGGUAGCCGGCCUGGGAGGGUGACCUGCCACAUUGGGACUGAGAUACGGCCCAGCCUCCUCCGGGAGGCAGCAGUGCGGAAUAUUGUACAAUGGGCGGAAGCCUGAUGUAGCCACGCCGCGUGCGGGAUGUCGGCCUUCGGGUUGUAAUCCGCUUUCGCCUGUGACGAAGCGUGAGUGACGGUACUGGGUAAAGAAGCACCGGCUAACUACGUG
This 468-nucleotide ribosomal RNA is filed under the name uncultured bacterium. RNAcentral's name for it is "partial 16S ribosomal RNA". It matches the Rfam family "Bacterial small subunit ribosomal RNA", at positions 28 to 507 of the family's 1533-position model. The record is from RNAcentral.